UGAGCCAAGUUUAGGGUUUUCUCAAAACCCAAGCAGUAUUGAACUGAAGAGUUUGAUCAUGGCUCAGAUUGAACGCUGGCGGCAGGCCUAACACAUGCAAGUCGAGCGGAUGAAGGGAGCUUGCUCCUGGAUUCAGCGGC
RNAcentral lists this ribosomal RNA (140 nucleotides) under Pseudomonas aeruginosa. Its description in RNAcentral is "partial 16S ribosomal RNA". The stretch from base 41 to 140 matches the Rfam family "Bacterial small subunit ribosomal RNA", at positions 1 to 99 of the family's 1533-position model. The record is from RNAcentral. Lineage: Bacteria; Pseudomonadati; Pseudomonadota; Gammaproteobacteria; Pseudomonadales; Pseudomonadaceae.